GCAUAUCAAUAAGCGGAGGAAAAGAAACCAACAGGGAUUGCCCUAGUAACGGCGAGUGAAGCGGCAACAGCUCAAAUUUGAAAGCUGGCUCUCGGGCCCGCAUUGUAAUUUGCAGAGGAUGCUUCUGGCGACGCGCCUUCCGAGUUCCCUGGAACGGGACGCCAUAGAGGGUGAGAGCCCCGUCCGGUCGUGCGCCUAGCCUCUGUGAAGCUCCUUCGACGAGUCGAGUAGUUUGGGAAUGCUGCUCAAAAUGGGAGGUAUACGUCUUCUAAAGCUAAAUACCGGCCAGAGACCGAUAGCGCACAAGUAGAGUGAUCGAAAGAUGAAAAGCACUUUGAAAAGAGAGUUAAAAAGUACGUGAAAUUGUUGAAAGGGAAGCGCUCAUGACCAGACUUGGGCUGGCUCGAUCAUCCGGCGUUCUCGCCGGUGCACUCGGGCCGCUCAGGCCAGCAUCAGCUUCCGCCGGGGGAUAAAGGCGGUGGGAAUGUGGCUCCCUCGGGAGUGUUAUAGCCCGCCGUGCAAUACCCUGGUGGGGGCUGAGGUUCGCGCGUAUGCACGGAUGCUGGCGUAAUGGUCAUCAGCGACCCGUCUUGAAACACGGACCAAGGAGUCGUCUUCGUAUGCGAGUGUUCGGGUGUCAAACCCCUACGCGGAAUGAAAGUGAACGCUGGUGAGAGCUUCGGCGCAUCACCGACCGAUCCUGAUGUUCUCGGAUGGAUUUGAGUAAGAGCAUACGGGGCCGGACCCGAAAGAAGGUGAACUAUGCCUGUAUAGGGUGAAGCCAGAGGAAACUCUGGUGGAGGCUCGCAGCGGUUCUGACGUGCAAAUCGAUCGUCAAAUAUGGGCAUGGGGGCGAAAGACUAAUCGAACCUUCUAGUAGCUGGUUCCGCG
RNAcentral lists this ribosomal RNA (891 nucleotides) under Trichothecium crotocinigenum. RNAcentral's name for it is "LSU rRNA". It matches the Rfam family "Eukaryotic large subunit ribosomal RNA", at positions 38 to 961 of the family's 3401-position model. Lineage: Eukaryota; Fungi; Ascomycota; Sordariomycetes; Hypocreales. The record is from RNAcentral.